UAAGCGACUAAGCGUACACGGUGGAUGCCCUGGCAGUCAGAGGCGAUGAAGGACGUGCUAAUCUGCGAUAAGCGUCGGUAAGGUGAUAUGAACCGUUAUAACCGGCGAUUUCCGAAUGGGGAAACCCAGUGUGUUUCGACACACUAUCAUUAACUGAAUCCAUAGGUUAAUGAGGCGAACCGGGGGAACUGAAACAUCUAAGUACCCCGAGGAAAAGAAAUCAACCGAGAUUCCCCCAGUAGCGGCGAGCGAACGGGGAGCAGCCCAGAGCCUGAAUCAGUGUGUGUGUUAGUGGAAGCGUCUGGAAAGGCGCGCGAUACAGGGUGACAGCCCCGUACACAAAAAUGCACAUGCUGUGAGCUCGAUGAGUAGGGCGGGACACGUGGUAUCCUGUCUGAAUAUGGGGGGACCAUCCUCCAAGGCUAAAUACUCUGACUGACCGAUAGUGAACCAGUACCGUGAGGGAAAGGCGAAAAGAACCCCGGCGAGGGGAGUGAAAAAGAACCUGAAACCGUGUACGUACAAGCAGUGGGAGCACGCUUAGGCGUGUGACUGCGUACCUUUUGUAUAAUGGGUCAGCGACUUAUAUUCUGUAGCAAGGUUAACCGAAUAGGGGAGCCGAAGGGAAACCGAGUCUUAACUGGGCGUUAAGUUGCAGGGUAUAGACCCGAAACCCGGUGAUCUAGCCAUGGGCAGGUUGAAGGUUGGGUAACACUAACUGGAGGACCGAACCGACUAAUGAUGAAAAAUUAGCGGAUGACUUGUGGCUGGGGGUGAAAGGCCAAUCAAACCGGGAGAUAGCUGGUUCUCCCCGAAAGCUAUUUAGGUAGCGCCUCGUGAAUUCAUCUCCGGGGGUAGAGCACUGUUUCGGCAAGGGGGUCAUCCCGACUUACCAACCCGAUGCAAACUGCGAAUACCGGAGAAUGUUAUCACGGGAGACACACGGCGGGUGCUAACGUCCGUCGUGAAGAGGGAAACAACCCAGACCGCCAGCUAAGGUCCCAAAGUCAUGGUUAAGUGGGAAACGAUGUGGGAAGGCCCAGACAGCCAGGAUGUUGGCUUAGAAGCAGCCAUCAUUUAAAGAAAGCGUAAUAGCUCACUGGUCGAGUCGGCCUGCGCGGAAGAUGUAACGGGGCUAAACCAUGCACCGAAGCUGCGGCAGCGACGCUGAUGCGUUGUUGGGUAGGGGAGCGUUCUGUAAGCCUGUGAAGGUGUGCUGUGAGGCAUGCUGGAGGUAUCAGAAGUGCGAAUGCUGACAUAAGUAACGAUAAAGCGGGUGAAAAGCCCGCUCGCCGGAAGACCAAGGGUUCCUGUCCAACGUUAAUCGGGGCAGGGUGAGUCGACCCCUAAGGCGAGGCCGAAAGGCGUAGUCGAUGGGAAACAGGUUAAUAUUACUGUACUUGGUGUUACUGCGAAGGGGGGACGGAGAAGGCUAUGUUGGCCGGGCGACGGUUGUCCCGGUUUAAGCGUGUAGGCUGGUUUUCCAGGCAAAUCCGGAAAACUAAGGCUGAGGCGUGAUGACGAGGCACUACGGUGCUGAAGCAACAAAUGCCCUGCUUCCAGGAAAAGCCUCUAAGCAUCAGGUAACAUCAAAUCGUACCCCAAACCGACACAGGUGGUCAGGUAGAGAAUACCAAGGCGCUUGAGAGAACUCGGGUGAAGGAACUAGGCAAAAUGGUGCCGUAACUUCGGGAGAAGGCACGCUGAUAUGUAGGUGAAGUCCCUCGCGGAUGGAGCUGAAAUCAGUCGAAGAUACCAGCUGGCUGCAACUGUUUAUUAAAAACACAGCACUGUGCAAACACGAAAGUGGACGUAUACGGUGUGACGCCUGCCCGGUGCCGGAAGGUUAAUUGAUGGGGUCAGCGCAAGCGAAGCUCUUGAUCGAAGCCCCGGUAAACGGCGGCCGUAACUAUAACGGUCCUAAGGUAGCGAAAUUCCUUGUCGGGUAAGUUCCGACCUGCACGAAUGGCGUAAUGAUGGCCAGGCUGUCUCCACCCGAGACUCAGUGAAAUUGAACUCGCUGUGAAGAUGCAGUGUACCCGCGGCAAGACGGAAAGACCCCGUGAACCUUUACUAUAGCUUGACACUGAACAUUGAGCCUUGAUGUGUAGGAUAGGUGGGAGGCUUUGAAGUGUGGACGCCAGUCUGCAUGGAGCCGACCUUGAAAUACCACCCUUUAAUGUUUGAUGUUCUAACGUUGACCCGUAAUCCGGGUUGCGGACAGUGUCUGGUGGGUAGUUUGACUGGGGCGGUCUCCUCCUAAAGAGUAACGGAGGAGCACGAAGGUUGGCUAAUCCUGGUCGGACAUCAGGAGGUUAGUGCAAUGGCAUAAGCCAGCUUGACUGCGAGCGUGACGGCGCGAGCAGGUGCGAAAGCAGGUCAUAGUGAUCCGGUGGUUCUGAAUGGAAGGGCCAUCGCUCAACGGAUAAAAGGUACUCCGGGGAUAACAGGCUGAUACCGCCCAAGAGUUCAUAUCGACGGCGGUGUUUGGCACCUCGAUGUCGGCUCAUCACAUCCUGGGGCUGAAGUAGGUCCCAAGGGUAUGGCUGUUCGCCAUUUAAAGUGGUACGCGAGCUGGGUUUAGAACGUCGUGAGACAGUUCGGUCCCUAUCUGCCGUGGGCGCUGGAGAACUGAGGGGGCUGCUCCUAGUACGAGAGGACCGGAGUGGACGCAUCACUGGUGUUCGGGUUGUCAUGCCAAUGGCACUGCCCGGUAGCUAAAUGCGGAAGAGAUAAGUGCUGAAAGCAUCUAAGCACGAAACUUGCCCCGAGAUGAGUUCUCCCUGACUCCUUGAGAGUCCUGAAGGAACGUUGAAGACGACGACGUUGAUAGGCCGGGUGUGUAAGCGCAGCGAUGCGUUGAGCUAACCGGUACUAAUGAACCGUGAGGCUUAACCU
Molecule: ribosomal RNA, 2898 nt
Filed under: Escherichia coli DEC10F
Lineage: Bacteria; Pseudomonadati; Pseudomonadota; Gammaproteobacteria; Enterobacterales; Enterobacteriaceae
Description: bacterial LSU rRNA
Rfam family: Bacterial large subunit ribosomal RNA
Source: RNAcentral